This is a small nuclear RNA of Lates calcarifer (barramundi perch), 190 nucleotides long. Its record names the gene U2. It matches the Rfam family "U2 spliceosomal RNA". From Rfam's summary of the family: U2 is a small nuclear RNA (snRNA) component of the spliceosome (involved in pre-mRNA splicing). Complementary binding between U2 snRNA (in an area lying towards the 5' end but 3' to hairpin I) and the branchpoint sequence (BPS) of the intron results the bulging out of an unpaired adenosine, on the BPS, which initiates a nucleophilic attack at the intronic 5' splice site, thus starting the first of two transesterification reactions that mediate splicing. The record is from Ensembl. NCBI's taxonomy places the organism in Eukaryota, Metazoa, Chordata, Actinopteri, Centropomidae.
AUCGCUUCUCGGCCUUUUGGCUAAGAUCAAGUGUAGUAUCUGUUCUUAUCAGUUUAAUAUCUGAUACGUCCCCUACCCGGGGACCAUAUAUUAAAUUGAUUUUUGGAUCAGGGAGCCGGAACGGGGGCUUGCUCCUUCCACUCCACGCAUCGACCGGUAUUGCAUUACCUCCAGGUACGGUGCACAUUCU